AUAAAUCGGUGUUAACCACCGUUAAACAUCUUGUGAACUUGUAUUUGUUCUUGGUGGUCGGCUUCUGGCUCUAAGCCAUGUCAUCACGACAUGGGCCACCAGUUGGCUAGUCGGUUUUCCGGCUAGCCUUGAACCAACCUAUGCUUUUCUAUUAUGGUCUUAACGUUCCUGUCUAUGGCAGGAUUGUAUCCAAAUUGAAAA
This 201-nucleotide unclassified non-coding RNA is filed under the name uncultured fungus. Its description in RNAcentral is "sequence contains ITS1, 5.8S rRNA gene". Lineage: Eukaryota; Fungi. The record is from RNAcentral.